GGGGUCAAAAUUAAUAAAAUGAAUUUAAUAAAAAAAAUUUUAAUGUUAAAAUAUUAUAAUGGGGGUUAAAGUAUUUUAAUAGAAAAAAUUUUAAAUUUUAUAGUUAAUUAGUAUUGUGAAAGAAUUUUGAAAUAGGUUGAAAAAAAAAUUAUUUAUAAGUAAAUUUGAUUUAUUGUAUCUUGUGUAUCAGAGUUUAUUAAAAAUAUUUUAUUAAGUUAAAUUUCUCGAAUUUAAAAGAGUUAAUUAAUUAAAAAAUUUAUUGUUUUAUAAAUAUUUUAAAUAGUUAAUUUGAAAUGAAAUGUUAAUCGUUUUUAAAUAUAUCUAGUUUUUUUAGAAAAAAAUUUAAUUUUUAAUAAAAUUUAAAAAUAAAUUUAUUUUUAAAUUUAUUUUUAAAUUUUAUUAAAUAUUUUAAGGGAUAAGCUUUAAAUUAAAUUUUUAUAAUUAAUUAUAUUUAAUUUUGAGAAUUUUAUAAUUUAUAUUGUUAAUAAAUUAUAAUUUAUUAUAAAUAAUUUCAUUUAAUAUUUAAAAUUUAAUUAAAAUUUAAAUUUUUAUAAAAAAAUAUUUUUUAAUGUGAAAAAUUUAGUUAUAAUGAUAAAAUUAGUAUAUAAUAUUAUUUAUUUAUUAAUUUAAUUUUAAAUUUAUAAUAAUUAUUUUAAAGGAAUUCGACAAAUAGUUAUAUUCACCUGUUUAUCAAAAACAUGUCUUUUUGUAAAUAAUUUAAAGUCUAAUCUGCCCACUGAUAUUAAUUAAAGGGCUGCAGUAUAUUGACUGUACAAAGGUAGCAUAAUCAUUAGUCUCUUAAUUGGUGACUUGUAUGAAAGAUUGGAUGAGAUAUAGAUUGUCUCUGAAAUAUAAUAUUGAAUUUAAUUUUUUAAUUAAAAAGUUAAAAUAAAUUAAAAAGACGAGAAGACCCUAUAGAGUUUUAUAUUAAUUUAAAUUAAAGUUAUGUUUAAAUUUAAUAAUUAAAAUUUAAUUAAAUAUUUUACUGGGGUGGUAAAAAAAUUUAUUUAACUUUUUUUAAAAUUUAAACAUAAAUAAGUGAAUAUAUUGAUCCAUUAUUAUUGAUUAUAAGAAAAAAUUACCUUAGGGAUAACAGCGUAAUUUUUUUUUUUAGUUCAAAUAAAAAAAAAAGUUUGCGACCUCGAUGUUGGAUUAAGAUAAAAUUUAAAUGCAAAAGUUUAAAAUUUUUGAUCUGUUCGAUCAUUAAAAUCUUACAUGAUCUGAGUUCAAACCGGUGUAAGCCAGGUUGGUUUCUAUCUUUUAAUAUUUUUUAUAUUUUAGUACGAAAGGAUCAAAUAUUUUAAUUAAAUUAAUUUUUAAUGAAUUUUAAUAAGUUAUAAUAUAUAUAUAUAUAUAUACAUGUUAAUAUAUUUAUA
Molecule: ribosomal RNA, 1376 nt
Filed under: Barbourion lemaii
Lineage: Eukaryota; Metazoa; Arthropoda; Insecta; Lepidoptera; Sphingidae
Description: 16S ribosomal RNA
Source: RNAcentral